This 68-nucleotide transfer RNA is filed under the name Marmota monax (woodchuck). RNAcentral's name for it is "tRNA.Undet". The stretch from base 5 to 65 matches the Rfam family "tRNA", at positions 6 to 65 of the family's 71-position model. From Rfam's summary of the family: Transfer RNA (tRNA) molecules are approximately 80 nucleotides in length. Their secondary structure includes four short double-helical elements and three loops (D, anti-codon, and T loops). The record is from RNAcentral. Lineage: Eukaryota; Metazoa; Chordata; Mammalia; Rodentia; Sciuridae.
GGCUUGUGGCUCAGUGGUAGAGUGCUUGCCUGGCAUGUGUAAAGCCCUGAGUUCAAUCCUCAGCACCA